This 2235-nucleotide long non-coding RNA is filed under the name Jatropha curcas. Its description in RNAcentral is "long non-coding RNA (JCUR_LNC003362)". The record is from RNAcentral. Lineage: Eukaryota; Viridiplantae; Streptophyta; Magnoliopsida; Malpighiales; Euphorbiaceae.
AAAUUGUUUACAAAUUUUUUUCAAAAAAGUAGAUCUUAUUAAUUUAACUAAUUAACACAGGUCGAAACUGUAAAAAUUUAUGAUAUAAUAAAGACUAUUAAUUAUCAAAUAAUAAUUGAAUAAACGGUUGGAUUAAGAGCCUGUUUAGAGUUUACUAUACAAGUCAAAUGGGGAUAGAUCCAUAAAAAACGGAAUCCGACCACCCAUGACCCAUCAGAAUCUCUCUUUCUUUCUCCCCAAUGAUUUAACUUCUAAUAAUGAUUAAGAAGAAAAAGAAGUCAAAAUUACUUUAGGAAACACAAGAAGCACCCCCCAAAAUAAAGUAGCACUAUAAUUUUCUCUUGGACUAUCAACACUCACAUUGAAACAACCAACCAUAAUCUAUUCUACCUUUUCCAUUUCCUUUUAAAUAAACUAUUACAACAAUAUUUAUAAAUUACAUAGAUAUAUAUAUACCCUUCCUCUAUCCCUUUUACAAGGUCCCACAACCACUAGCAAAAAUUAGAGCCCCCACUAGAAAAGUGCCAUCAUCAUUUCCCACUAACCCCACCAAAAAGAAAAAAAAAAUAGCAUAUCAAGUGAGCUUUGACAAUUUUCCUCCUCCACUUGAGCUUGGCAAGACAUCAAGGGCCUGCCUGCAUUUUUUUUAGGCAUUGACAUCUUAACCUGUUUUGAGAGGAGAAAAAAAAAAACAACAAAAAAAGCUGGAAAGGAAAGGCAAAAGCAAGAACUAUGGCAUCUGACUUUGAUUGCAAUUUGAAAUUAGCCAACAUCCAUUUGGUGGAGUUGGAAUGGGACAAACAAAAUAUGGGACCCCAAACAUUUGGUGACUUUAAAUGGGACCAUGGGAUGCUUACCCAUUUCGAAGGUCUAUGAUGGAGGAUUUGUUUCUGGCUUCACAAUAGUAGAUGUAUCUGGUGGUUGUGUAUGGUAAAUUGCAGUGGCCAGUGAGAUGGGCAUGAUGCAAAGUGCCUUUGAUUGAAGAAACUGCAUGGCAGCACCAACAUUUUCUUCCAUCAGCUUUGCUACCUGUCGCUCCGUUCCAUCGUUCGACCACUUCUCCCACGCUGGUUGGUUUCUUCCAUCUUCGCCGGUUUCAUCCUAUAUAUCAGGAAGAGCUAACUUAGCCCAAGUGUGAAAAGGAAAGAAUGAAAUAUGUUAUAUUAUCCUCCAUAAAUAUCAUGUUUUCUUUAUUACCUCAACUGAAGAUAGUGGGAUAUCCGUUACAAGUGGUGCAACCGCACCAGCUCCGCCCAAUCUACUCAUGCUUAAAACCUGUUAAUGAUAAAAAAAUAUUGGUCAAUAAAAAGGGCCAAAAGCAAUAAUAAAAUUUCAACCAUCAUAACAUCCAUUUUUGUGGACACUCCAUUUCAGAAUGAGCGAGGAAUGCACUACUAAAUAAGCCAAUGAAUAUUCUAACUUCUAUUGCAUGAUUCACAUCUUUUUGUUAUAUUCAAUUUAUAAUUUGUCAUCCAUAGUGGAGGCAACAAUAUAUGUAAAUUUAUGAGCACACAAAACCGACCUAUGAAGUGAUUUUAAUAAAAUAUCAUAAUAAUUAUAUUUGUAAUUUUUACAAAUCAUUAAUUUAUAACAUGAAUGGAACAACAAAAUUGUUUACAAAUUUUUUUCAAAAAAGUAGAUCUUAUUAAUUUAACUAAUUAACACAGGUCGAAACUGUAAAAAUUUAUGAUAUAAUAAAGACUAUUAAUUAUCAAAUAAUAAUUGAAUAAACGGUUGGAUUAAGAGCCUGUUUAGAGUUUACUAUACAAGUCAAAUGGGGAUAGAUCCAUAAAAAACGGAAUCCGACCACCCAUGACCCAUCAGAAUCUCUCUUUCUUUCUCCCCAAUGAUUUAACUUCUAAUAAUGAUUAAGAAGAAAAAGAAGUCAAAAUUACUUUAGGAAACACAAGAAGCACCCCCCAAAAUAAAGUAGCACUAUAAUUUUCUCUUGGACUAUCAACACUCACAUUGAAACAACCAACCAUAAUCUAUUCUACCUUUUCCAUUUCCUUUUAAAUAAACUAUUACAACAAUAUUUAUAAAUUACAUAGAUAUAUAUAUACCCUUCCUCUAUCCCUUUUACAAGGUCCCACAACCACUAGCAAAAAUUAGAGCCCCCACUAGAAAAGUGCCAUCAUCAUUUCCCACUAACCCCACCAAAAAGAAAAAAAAAAUAGCAUAUCAAGUGAGCUUUGACAAUUUUCCUCCUCCACUUGAGCUUGGCAAGACAUCAAG